AGUGAACGCUGGCGGUAGGCCUAACACAUGCAAGUCGAACGGCAGCACAGUAAGAGCUUGCUCUUACGGGUGGCGAGUGGCGGACGGGUGAGGAAUACAUCGGAAUCUACUUUUUCGUGGGGGAUAACGUAGGGAAACUUACGCUAAUACCGCAUACGACCUACGGGUGAAAGCAGGGGAUCUUCGGACCUUGCGCGAUUGAAUGAGCCGAUGUCGGAUUAGCUAGUUGGCGGGGUAAAGGCCCACCAAGGCGACGAUCCGUAGCUGGUCUGAGAGGAUGAUCAGCCACACUGGAACUGAGACACGGUCCAGACUCCUACGGGAGGCAGCAGUGGGGAGUAUUGGACAAUGGGCGCAAGCCUGAUCCAGCCAUACCGCGUGGGUGAAGAAGGCCUUCGGGUUGUAAAGCCCUUUUGUUGGGAAAGAAAAGCAGCAGGUUAAUACCCCGCUGUUCUGACGUUACCCAAAGAAUAAGCACCGGCUAACUUCGUG
RNAcentral lists this ribosomal RNA (492 nucleotides) under uncultured bacterium. RNAcentral describes it as "partial 16S ribosomal RNA". It matches the Rfam family "Bacterial small subunit ribosomal RNA", at positions 29 to 507 of the family's 1533-position model. The record is from RNAcentral.